GCGCCAUUAGCUCAGUGGAUAGAGCAUCCGCCUUCUAAGCGGAUGGUCACAGGUUCGAAUCCUGUAUGGCGUGCCA
RNAcentral lists this transfer RNA (76 nucleotides) under Acinetobacter sichuanensis. Its description in RNAcentral is "Acinetobacter sp. WCHAc060041 tRNA-Arg". It matches the Rfam family "tRNA". From Rfam's summary of the family: Transfer RNA (tRNA) molecules are approximately 80 nucleotides in length. The record is from RNAcentral. Lineage: Bacteria; Pseudomonadati; Pseudomonadota; Gammaproteobacteria; Moraxellales; Moraxellaceae.